This 448-nucleotide ribosomal RNA is filed under the name uncultured bacterium. Its description in RNAcentral is "bacterial SSU rRNA". It matches the Rfam family "Bacterial small subunit ribosomal RNA", at positions 329 to 794 of the family's 1533-position model. The record is from RNAcentral.
GUCCAGACUCCUACGGGAGGCAGCAGUGGGGGAUAUUGCACAAUGGGGGGAACCCUGAUGCAGCGACGCCGCGUGGGUGAAGAAGCGCCUCGGCGCGUAAAGCCCUGUCAGCAGGGAAGAAAAUGACGGUACCUGAAGAAGAAGCCCCGGCUAACUACGUGCCAGCAGCCGCGGUAAUACGUAGGGGGCAAGCGUUAUCCGGAUUCACUGGGUGUAAAGGGAGCGUAGACGGCGGGGCAAGUCUGGAGUGAAAGGCCGGGGCCCAACCCCGGGACCGCUCUGGAAACUGCCCGGCUGGAGUGCGGGAGAGGUAAGCGGAAUUCCUAGUGUAGCGGUGAAAUGCGUAGAUAUUAGGAGGAACACCAGCGGCGAAGGCGGCUUACUGGACCGUGACUGACGUUGAGGCUCGAAAGCGUGGGGAGCAAACAGGAUUAGAUACCCUGGUAAU